AUUGAACGCUGGCGGCAGGCCUAACACAUGCAAGUCGAGCGGAUGAAGGGAGCUUGCUCCUGGAUUCAGCGGCGGACGGGUGAGUAAUGCCUAGGAAUCUGCCUGUUAGUGGGGGAUAACGUCCGGAAACGGGCGCUAAUACCGCAUACGUCCUGAGGGAGAAAGUGGGGGAUCUUCGGACCUCACGCUAUCAGAUGAGCCUAGGUCUGAUUAGCUAGUUGGUGGGGUAAAGGCCUACCAAGGCGACGAUCCGUAACUGGUCUGAGAGGAUGAUCAGUCACACUGGAACUGAGACACGGUCCAGACUCCUAAGGGAGGCAGCAGUGGGGAAUAUUGGACAAUGGGCGAAAGCCUGAUCCAGCCAUGCCGCGUGUGUGAAGAAGGUCUUCGGAUUGUAAAGCACUUUAAGUUGGGAGGAAGGGCAGUAAGUUAAUACCUUGCUGUUUUGACGUUACCAACAGAAUAAGCACCGGCUAACUUCGUG
This 484-nucleotide ribosomal RNA is filed under the name uncultured bacterium. Its description in RNAcentral is "partial 16S ribosomal RNA". It matches the Rfam family "Bacterial small subunit ribosomal RNA", at positions 30 to 507 of the family's 1533-position model. The record is from RNAcentral.